This 503-nucleotide ribosomal RNA is filed under the name uncultured organism. RNAcentral describes it as "SSU rRNA". It matches the Rfam family "Bacterial small subunit ribosomal RNA", at positions 15 to 509 of the family's 1533-position model. The record is from RNAcentral.
GAUCCUGGCUCAGGAUGAACGCUAGCUACAGGCUUAACACAUGCAAGUCGAGGGGCAGCACAGAGGUUGCUUGCAACCUUUGGUGGCGACCGGCGGAUGGGUGCGUAACGCGUAUCCAACCUGCCGCAGUCCCGGGGAUAGCCCGUGGAAACGCGGAUUAACACCCGAUGGUGCAUACGUUCCGCAUGGCGCGUAUGCCAAAUGCGAAGGACUGCGAUGGGGAUGCGUACCAUUAGGUAGAAGGCGGGGUAACGGCCCACCUUGCCGACGAUGGUUAGGGGUUCUGAGAGGAAGGCCCCCCACACUGGGACUGAGACACGGCCCAGACUCCUACGGGAGGCAGCAGUGAGGAAUAUUGGUCAAUGGGCGCGAGCCUGAACCAGCCAAGUAGCGUGGAGGAUGAAGGCCCUACGGGUUGUAAACUCCUUUUAUGCGGGGAUAAAAAGUGCCACGUGUGGCAUGUUGCAGGUACCGCAUGAAUAAGGACCGGCUAAUUCCGUGCC